This 7103-nucleotide long non-coding RNA is filed under the name Solanum tuberosum (potato). Its description in RNAcentral is "long non-coding RNA (STUB_LNC008709)". The record is from RNAcentral. Lineage: Eukaryota; Viridiplantae; Streptophyta; Magnoliopsida; Solanales; Solanaceae.
UUUUUUGUUAGAUUCUAAGGGUGAAAUGCGUGAGUUUUUGGAGGGACUAGUUGAUGCUGAUGAUGUUCCAACGUACGUUAAAGGACAUCAAUUUGGAGAACCUACGAUAACAAAUAUUCAUAAGGAUUGAGAUUAUUAUGCUAAGAUAAUUCGAGCUGCGGAAGAUCCUAGCUUUGGUUGUUCUGAUUACGAAUCUGAGUACUCUGAUUAAGGAUUUUAAUUACUAGUAUUAUGUUCUAUGAAGAAGGUUAAUGGUUUUUCCCAGAACAUUAAGUAAAUCUUUUCUUCGUAAUUGUGUACUUAUGAUGUUUUGGUGUGGUCUAGUGUUUUUUUGCAUGUUGCAAGUCUUUUGGGACUUUAUUUGUCUAUGGGUUGUUAAUGAUAUUACUAUGUUUUGAUAAUGUUUCUAUCAUCUAUGUUCAUAUUGUUAAUGGUCUUUUAUGCUUUUUCCUAUGUUUUAUAUUUAUUAGGGAUAUGGAUUUGAAAAAUAUCUUAAUUUUGAUCGGAUUUGCUGUUGCGAUACUAAACUUUCAUGAGGACAUAUUACCUCCCUAGACUAUUUAAUACCGUAUUUUUAAAACAUAUAUAUUUGUCCACGUGGACAUAAAAAGUAAUGCAAAAUUUUAAAUAGUAAUGUGUCCACGUGGACACAUAUAUACCUUUAAAAUACACUAUUAAAUAGUUCAGCGGGUAAAAAAUACGGUAUUAAAUAGUCUAGGGAGGUAAUAGGUCCUUAUGAAAGUUUAGUAUCGCAACAGUAAAUCCGACCAAAGUUGGGGUAUUUUUCAGACCCUUAUCCCUAUUUAUUAAAUACCCCUUCGUUUCAUUUUACUUGUUCAUUUUAAUAAAUCAAAAGAGUUUUGCUAUAUUUUUCCGUUACUAUCAUUUGUAUUAGAUAAUUAGUAUUUCAAAAUAUCACUAAUAAAAUUUAAAGAAUAUUUUUAGCAAUUCAGUUGGUUGUCUACUACAUAAACUUUUACUUUAUUGGUGAGAAUUUGAUUUUCCACCUAACAGUCUACCUCCUCCAAUUCCCCUCCCCCUACUCCCAAUUUAAUUUUCUUUUAAUAAUAUAAGGUUAGAUAAUUUGGUAAAAAGACCUUUGAUUAAAGUUUUAUUAAAAAGUAUGACAUUUCAAAACGGGACAAGUAAUAUAAAAGAAUGAGAGUACGAUUAUAUAUUCUAUUCAUUGAGUGCUUUUAGUUAAUUUGUAUGUUAUGCUUGUUUCAAAUUAUUUAUCGUGGUUUAUUAAGAUAAUACUAUCAAAUUUUUAUUUUUAUUUUAAAAGUCAAAGAUACAAUUAAUUGUUGGUCUCCCUUUUCACUUUUAGUAGGAAUUGUUCUUAAAAGUCUACUAAAAUCUUCAAUUCUAUAUGGAGUGAUGACACAUAAACAGAUAAAUAUUUUAAUUAAUGAAUACAAAUUAUAUUUUAACAAAGGGUAUAUAUUAUAACAAUAUAUUUCAUGAAAUCUUAAUAAAAGGUAAGACUGUCUAAAUCUUUAAUAAUUAAACGUGUAAAAGAAAAACAAGAUAGAUAAUUUGAGACAAAGAGUAAAAGAAAAGCCAUCCGACCCCUUGAUAAACUGUUGCUCCUCGAAAAUCGAAAAGGCUCCUUAAUUGAUGAUGAACCUUAUGUUUCUCUGCUAAACCCUGUAAGUUUUAAAUUAUUUUGCAUUAAUUUAUUGAUUAACAAGAUGAUUAGUGAGACUAAUUACUAUUUUUUUUAUAUUUGCAGCCUAAUACUGCUAUUUUCCCACUUACCUACAAAGUUAAAAAUAGGGGAGACACAUUUCUAGGUAACUAACUUAUCUUUGAUAUUCAUGACUAUAAUCGAAUUUCAAUUUUGUAUCAGUAAAGGUGGCUGAGUUAGUGUAUUAGAUUUUGCGCGUAAGUACGUACUUUCUCAAAGAAUAAAUAAAUAGUCAUUUUUUGUGUAAGUACAUACCUUCUAGUAACUAGUUGAUGUUGAACUAUAGUAAUACAUACCAGCUCUUUCCAUCAAACAUGAUACGAUAAAACCUAGAAAAUAACGUAAAUAUAUAUCUUGUAUAUUUAAUUAUUUUUUUGAUAUGUCCGAAUGACGAAAUGCAAGGGUUUCUAGAAGGACUUGUUGAUGUUGUUCUAAUUUACGUUAAUGGACAUUUAUUUGGACAAUCUGCGAUAACAAAUUCUCAUAAUCAUUGGGAUUACUAUGCUAAGAUAGUUCGUGCUCAUGCAGUAUAACCUGGAUUUGGCUGUCCUGAUUAUGAAUCUGAUUAUUACACUGAUUAGGACUCUAAUUACCAUUAUAUUCUAUGAAAAAGGUUAAUGGUUUUCUUAGAACUUUAAGUAAAUCUCUUGUUAGUUAUUGGUACAUGUUUUAGUGUGGUCUUAUGUUUUUUUUUUUUUUUGCAAGUCUUUUGUGACUUUAAUUGCCUAUGGGUUAUUAAUGAUAUAUAACUAUGUUUUGCUAAUGUUUUAUGAAGAGACCACAAAUUCAUGUGUCUUAUAUUUUUGCUUCUAAAUUCGUUAGAGUGUAUUAUUUGCGAGCUAGAUGAAUUUAAAUUUGCACAAAGCAGAACCUAUUUUUAUAAAUGACAGUUUCAAUUACAAAAAGAAUUAUAUUCUCGAAAUAAAAACUUCAAAAUCUCUGAUUAAUAAUGAAAAAAUCUCAAUCAUCCUACUAUAAUUUAAUUCAUAUCGAUGAAGACUUGCAACUUGCAAAAACACAAGACCCCACCAUUACAUCAAAAGUACUACUAAUAAGAAAUUAUUGUGAAAUAAAGUGAGAUAACCAUGUUAACUGCACUGUAGCAAUCUUGGUGUCCAAGUUUUUUCUUCCACACUAACAAUAGUAAUAAUAGCUAAAUAAUUGACUUAUAUAUAGCUAGUUAAUUGACUUCUACUCUCUCCAUCUCAAUUUAUUUAUGUGACACAUUUCAGAUUUUGAAUUUCGAUGAAGUCUAUUUUUUAUUAUAGAUUUUUUCAUAUCUUUAAAAUAUUAUUAAUUAUUAAUUAUUGUGAAAAUUUCAUACCCAAAUUUUAAGUUAAAUUUAAAUUGUCACGUAAAUUGGGACAUACAUAAUUUGGAUAUUUAAAUAUUGAAUUAUAUUUUAAUGUAAUUUAUGUUCAAAAAUUAACUAGGAAUGGAUCAUAUUUUGGUUAAUUUGAUUAGAAUUAAGGAAAAUUAUGCUUUAAUUACAAUAGUUAUAGCCCACUUUUUAUUUACACCCAAAAUAAAAUUUAGAUUUGAUUUUUUCAAAUUUCCCUUUAUGUGAUGUCCGUACUUCACUUUUAUUGAUGCAACGGUGACAGUACAAAUUAAUUUAAAACUCUCAAGUAGAAAAAUUCAAUCAUAUAAAAAUAAAAAUAAAAAGACUAAUAAGUACUAUCGACUACUUUUCUUUCAAAAAGAAGGAGGUAUAUUUGACCCCAUUAUAAAGUACUUUGAUAGAUGGAAUAAUUAAAAUUAUCUAGCAUUGUAAAAAUAAAAAAUUGUGGAGCUAGUAAUGACACGUGAGUUCGUUCAAACUUAAUAAAUUUUGCUUAAAUAAUAUAUUUAUAUUAAUAAAUUUAUUAAAUAUAUAAUACUAUUAAGUUUUAAACUUAAUAAUUAUCACUUAAACUUGUUGUUGUAACAUUUAAAAUUCAUAAAAUUAAAAUCAUAAUUUUGCAUCGGACUUAAUUAUAAAGUAACUCCACUAAUUUUCUUGCUAAAUGUGAAAAAACAAGAAGGACCACUGGAAAAAGAAAAGAAAAAAACACUGAGAAGAAAAGGAAAAAGAAUAGAACUUCAACUAAUAAAGACGUAUUUUGUAAUAAUAUCUAAAUAUAAUAUAAUUAGGAGAAAAGUAUUGAAAAUCACCUCUAAAUUUGGUGUAAAUUAUUAGUUUUAUUUUUGAAUUAUUGAUGGUCUUAAAAAUACCCCUCUAUUUGAUUAACUAAACUUAGAUAUACCCUAAUUUGUCACAUGAAUAGCAUGUGAUCUCAAACUCUCGUAGGAGCAUGGGACUCUUAAUAAAAAAAGUAGAGAAAGUGUUGAAAACACUCUUAAACAUGACAAGAAAUUAGGGGUGUAUUUCACUCAUUAUAUCGGGAAUGUAUUUAAGUUUAGUUAGUCAAAUAGAGAAGUGUUUCUAAGACUGUCUAUAGAUCAAAGAUAAAAUUAAUAAUUCACACCGAGUUUAAAAAUAUUUCCAGUACUUCUCACUUAAAUUAAUGUAUAUCAUUCAAUUAAAAGAUGACAUAUGGAUUAUUAAAAUAAAAAAAUUCUCUCACCUUGUCAUAUUAAGUUCAUUGACGGAAGGGAUAAAAAUAAAGAAGCACAACGUUAACUAAUGAAACUAGAGAGGAAUUUUUAACCAUUUUCUUUAAAUAAUUUGAGAUAAGUAUUUUUUAAAAAUCAUGACAAAUAUUUUGAAAUAUUAUACUCCUUUCGUUCCUUUUUAUAUGUCAUUAAUACUAUAAAUAGUUGGUCCAUAAUACUUGUCAUUUCUUAAAAUCGAUACAUAAAUUAUAAUAUUCUUCCUAUUAUAUCUUUAAUAGUUAAUUAAUCUAGGAAAACUAAUAAGUAAUUAAUGUUCAUUGUAAUUACUUCAUACAUUGAUUAAUUACUCUCACCAUUGCAUUACUUUAUAAAAUCUGAUUUUGAAAAAGAAAUCUUAACAAACAAACUAAAAAUGAAAGAUGGAUUUAUUUAUCAUUUAUUGAAAAGUUGACUUCAAAUAAACAUUAAAUAAGGGUAGAAUUGUUAACUUGCUUAGUUUUUAAUAGGGAUAAGGUCUGAAAAAUACCCCAACUUUGGUCGGAUUUGUUGUUGCGAUACUAAGCUUUCAUAAGGACCUAUUACCUCCCUAGACUAUUUAAUACCGUAUUUUUUUACCCUCUGAACUAUUUAAGAGGGUAGUUUAAAGGUAUAUAUGUGUCCACGUGGACACAUUACUAUUUAUAAUUUUGCAUUAUUUUUUAUGUCCACGUGGGACAAAUAUAUAUGUUUAUAAUACGGUAUUUAAAUAAUCUAGGGAGGUAAUAGAUCCUCAUGAAAAUUUAGUAUCGCAACAGCAAAUUCGACCAAAGUUGGGUGUUUUUCAGACCCUUAUCCCUUUUUAAUACAAGUGAAAUCUAAAAAUAUGAGAUAUAAAAAUGAAUUUUUAAAGAUGUUACACUGAUUUGAUCUCCUCUUUUUUUUCAUUUGAUUAAAUGAGAAUACCACUUACCAAAAAUCCAGCUUAACUAAACAUAAUUUUAGUUUUUUUACCAUUAAUUAAUAGACCUUUUUAUGCCACUAUAUAUAUUUUAUAGGAUCAUAUCACUCAUUUGUGUCCAUACAAUCUUUUAUCUCUAAAUUUUUCUUCAAAUUAAUUUCAAGUAUGACAAGUAAUCUGAAGUUGAAAAAUGUUGUGGUUGAUUCUGAUAAAGAUAAUAGUGAUCAUGAAGAUGAAAAAGUUACUAAAAUAUUAGAAUUGGAUCUUCCUUUGGAGAAAUUGAACCUUGGUCCUAAAAAAAAAAUUCUUGUGCUUAAUCUUGGUGGGCUACUAGUCGAUAGGGUGCAUCGCCGCAACGAGUCUGCGGUGCGGAGAUACACCCCGGACCUUGCUCACGGCAAUUUCCUAGGUUAGUAUGUUUACAUGUGUCCGCGUUUUUAUUAUUUCUAAUCUGAUGUUUAGUACUCGUAUUUGGAUCAAGAUGAAAAAUCACAAUUUUAUUAUUUCUGAUCUGAUGUUGUUUUAAGUCACGUUGUUCAAGAUUCAUGGAUUGAUUUCUAUCCCAGGAUGGUGUGUUUCAAAUCAUAAAGUUUGAUUUUUUUUAUUAUGUUAUAAGUUAAACAUAAUUAUAAUUUGUUUUUGUUUUUUUGUAUUAAAACAGUCUUCAAGAGACCUUAUUGUGAUCAAUUUAUGAAGUUUUGCCUUGAAAGAUUUGAAGUUGGACUAUGGUCCUCUGCUAUGGAGUUAGUAUUAAUUAAAUUAAUAUAAUUUUAUUUUUUAAUUAGUGAAUUAAUUAAUUGAUCAAUUAAUCUAAUUAUUGUUACUUUUUAACUUUUCUUUUGUCCAUAUGAUAGUCGAAACGUGGAACCAAUUUUAGACAACAUCAUGAUUGGCCUUCGAAAAAAAUUGGUAUUUGUAUGGGUAAGCCAUUUUUUAUUUAAUUUAGUUUAAUUAAUUAAAUUAAAAUUGUAUUGUUCUUGAUUAUUUUUUUUAAAAAAAUUUUAGGAUCAAGAAAAAAGUAUUGAUAGUGGUUUUCCAACUGUGGAGAAGCAAAAUAAGCCAAUAUUUUUGAAGCAAUUGAAGAAAAUAUGGGAAAAUAAUUAUUAUGGUGGAAGAUUUUCAGAAUAUAACACACUUUUAAUUGAUGAUGAACCCCAUGUUGCUCUACUAAACCCUGUAAGUUUUAAUUAUUUUUCAUUAAUUUAUUAAUUAACAAGAUGAUUAGUGAGACUAAUUGUGAAUUGUUGUUUGAUUUGCAGCCUAAUACUGCUGUUUUUCCUCCUGCUUACAAAGUUAAAAAUAAGAGAGACACAUUUCUAGGUAACAAACUUGUCCUUGAUAUUCAUAGCUAGUCGAAUUUCAAUUUUGUACCUGGCUAAGUUAGUGCAAUAUGUGGUAUCUGAUAAUUGACUUUAGGGAUCUAAUUCUAAUGAGUUGUUGUACAUUAGCGGAUUUACCUAGCCCAAAAAAAAAAUCUAUAUAAUAACUAGGUUCAUGUUCAAAAUUCUAAGGUUUAUGCACUAAUGAUAAAGCUUGGCCUACAAUGAUAUGUAAAGUUUGUUUCUAUCAAUCCUGAUAUGAUAACUUGAUAAAAAAAUAUUGUUUUCAUUUUUUUGUUAGAUUCUAAGGGUGAAAUGCAUGAGUUUUUGGAGGGACUAGUUGAUGCUGAUGAUAUUCCAACGUACGUUAAAGGACAUCAAUUUGGACAACCUGCGAUAACAAAUACUCAUAAAGAUUGGGAUUAUUAUGCUAAGAUAAUUCGCGCUGCUGAAGAUCCUAGCUUUGGCUGUCCUGAUUAUGAAUCUGAUUACUCUGAUUAAGGACUCUAAUUACUAGUAUUAUGUUCUAUGAAGAAGGUUAAUGGUUUUUCCAAAAACAUUAAGUAAAUCACUUCUUAGUAGUUGUGUACUUUUGAUGUUUUGG